Molecule: non-coding RNA, 148 nt
Organism: Myotis lucifugus (little brown bat)
Lineage: Eukaryota; Metazoa; Chordata; Mammalia; Chiroptera; Vespertilionidae
Source: Rfam
ACCAUCCUUUUCUUGGGGUUGCGCUACUGUCCAAUGAACAUCUAGUGAGGACAAUACUGCUAUGCCUAAAAUAGAUAGAUGAUAGAUAGAUAGAUAGAUAGAUAGAUAGAUAGAUAGAUAGAUGAUAGAUAGAUAAAUGUUUAAAGAU